This 251-nucleotide ribosomal RNA is filed under the name uncultured bacterium. RNAcentral describes it as "partial 16S ribosomal RNA". It matches the Rfam family "Bacterial small subunit ribosomal RNA", at positions 524 to 775 of the family's 1533-position model. The record is from RNAcentral.
UACGUAGGGGGCAAGCGUUAUCCGGAAUUAUUGGGCGUAAAGAGUGCGUAGGUGGUUACCUAAGCAGGGGGUGAAAGGCAAUGGCUCAACCAUUGUUAGCCCUCUGAACUGGGUUACUUGAGUGCAGGAGAGGAAAGCGGAAUUCCUAGUGUAGCGGUGAAAUGCGUAGAUAUUAGGAGGAACACCAGUGGCGAAGGCGGCUUUCUGGACUGAAACUGACACUGAGGCACGAAAGUGUGGGGAGCAAACAG